GCGUGCACGCUUCACUAGUCUCUCACACACCUGUGAGCUUUUGUUAGAUCUGUGAGAUCGUCUCUCACAUCGUCAGACUCGGUUUGCUGGGAAUUAAACGUUCUGGUGUGACAUCGCAGUCUAUUUACUUAACACACCCCAAAUGUAUGUCUACGAAUGUCAUUUAAUGGGCCUUGUGCCUAUAAACCAUAAUACAACUUUCAACAACGGAUCUCUUGGCUCUCGCAUCGAUGAAGAACGCAGCGAAAUGCGAUAAGUAAUGUGAAUUGCAGAAUUCAGUGAAUCAUCGAAUCUUUGAACGCACCUUGCGCCCCUUGGUAUUCCGAGGGGCAUGCCUGUUUGAGUGUCAUUAAAUUCUCAAACUCACUUUGGUUUCUUUCCAAUUGUGAUGUUUGGAUUGUUGGGGGCUGCUGGCCUUGACAGGUCGGCUCCUCUUAAAUGCAUUAGCAGGACUUCUCAUUCCUCUGGGCGGAUGUGAUAAUUAUCACUCCCAAAUAACACGCAGGGGAGGAUUCAACAAGCUGAGGGCAUCUCAAUAAGCGGAGGAGCAUCAAUAUCGGUGA
Molecule: ribosomal RNA, 563 nt
Filed under: Pleurotus ostreatus (oyster mushroom)
Lineage: Eukaryota; Fungi; Basidiomycota; Agaricomycetes; Agaricales; Pleurotaceae
Description: eukaryotic LSU rRNA
Rfam family: 5.8S ribosomal RNA (bases 196-349)
Source: RNAcentral